This 403-nucleotide ribosomal RNA is filed under the name uncultured bacterium. Its description in RNAcentral is "bacterial SSU rRNA". It matches the Rfam family "Bacterial small subunit ribosomal RNA", at positions 9 to 403 of the family's 1533-position model. The record is from RNAcentral.
GAGUUUGAUCGUGGCUCAGGAUAAACGCUGGCGGCGCACAUAAGACAUGCAAGUCGAACGGACUUAAUCGAUUCUUUUAGAUUCGAAGCGGUUAGUGGCGGACUGGUGAGUAACACGUAAGCAACCUGCCUGUUAGAGGGGAAUAACAGUGAGAAAUCACUGCUAAAACCGCAUAUGCCGUGAACAUCGCAUGAUGAAAACGGGAAAGAGCAAUCUGCUAAUAGAUGGGCUUGCGUCUGAUUAGCUAGUUGGUGUGGUAAAGGCAUACCAAGGCAACGAUCAGUAGCCGGACUGAGAGGUUGAACGGCCACAUUGGGACUGAGAUACGGCCCAGACUCCUACGGGAGGCAGCAGUCGGGAAUAUUGCGCAAUGGAGGAAACUCUGACGCAGUGACGCCGCGUA